Long non-coding RNA from Dendrobium catenatum, 3099 nucleotides. RefSeq lists it as uncharacterized. The transcript has 2 exons. The record is from RefSeq and is a predicted model, not a curated record. Lineage: Eukaryota; Viridiplantae; Streptophyta; Magnoliopsida; Asparagales; Orchidaceae.
CUACAUGUUCCAGCAAGUUGAGUUAGAGUGUUACAAGUCUUUCGGUAGCUGAAGCUUAAAGUUCGAAUGAGCUAGAGGUUGCACUCAACAAGUCCAGUUAUGGCCGAGUUCGCUGGCGUCUCCGUUUACUCAAUAAGCCAUAAGAAAGGCCGCAGUAGAGGUACCUCCAUUUCGUUAAACUUUUAGUAGGAACUGUUAGAAACAUAAAGGCUUAGUUGACUUGAUAAGUAAAUUGGUUGUAGUCUGAAAAAUUUUGCUAAGUAACUAGAGAGCCAAUGUUACAGUGGAAAGAUGUAUAAUCCUCCAAAUAAAAAAAUAAGACAACUGCCCUUUCCAAAAUAUACGCAGAUUGUCCCCUAAGUAGUUUGAGAUAUCGCCUUCUACAACAUGUUGUGACUUUGAAAGUCGAAAAAGAAGACUUUUAUAACUACAUAUUCCAUCAAGUCAAGUCAGAGCGGCACAAGUCUUUCAACAGCCUCAAGCUUAAGGUUCGAAUGAGAUUAAGAGGUCAGACUCAACAAGCCCAGAUCUGGCCGAGUCACUGGCAGCUCCAUUUACUCAACAAGCCAUAAGAAAAGCCGUAGUAGAGGAACCCCCAUUUUGUCAACCCUUCAGUAGGGACUGUAUGAAGUACACCAACUUAUCUGACUCGAUAAGUUCAAGUAGCCGUAGUCCAUUAAAUUUUCCUAAGUCACUGGAUAGUCAAAGUUAUAGUAGGAAGUAUGAGUCUCGAUCAAUAGCUACCGAAUGCAUGUAAGCUUUAAGAUCUCGAACCACAUAAGAUUACUUCAAAUUCGCAAACUUUAGCAAAAUCUAGCUUAGGGAGCGCAUUUCCCACAACUCAAGUUUGUCUAAAGCCUGAACGGGCGUAUGAGGUCGGCCUCAAUAAGCCCAGAUGUGAUUGAAUCACUGACAGCUCCAUCUACUUAAUACAUUAUAAAAAUGGCCACAGUAGAGGAACCAUUGUUUCAAUAGUCGGAUGACAAGAGUUGUUAAAUCCUUGCUUGCCCAAUCUGACAAGUUCAAGUAACCCAGAUUAAAAUCUUCUCGAUUGAUUAAUGAUCAAGAUAUUAUCUACAUUUGGUACUACUAAUCAAUCUCAAAACCUGUAAAUCAUUCAAAAAAUUCGUAAAGCACAAAGCGAGAUCGAAGGAAUCCUUCAACAAGUUCAUCAAAUCACAAAACAUAGAAUUGAAGAAAUUAUCCCAAAGUUCACAUAAAGCCUAAGGCUGAAUUAAGAGGACUUUUGUCAUUAACAAGUCUGUUACGCACAAAGUUCUUAACCGAUGAUCUCUCGACACUGAUCUGAUGACCUAAACACAAAGGUCAUCGACAUCUACUCCUUCAUCAAGCUUGCCAAAGCAAGGAACAUAGGGCAAAAGGUACACAAAUCCAGUAAUAAGUCAGUAAUGACAAAUCAGAUAAUCUUUUACCAAUAUCUGUCAUACAAAGUAUAUGACAAAAGAAGUUAAAAUCUCAAGAACUCAAGCUAAGUUAUUUAGAGUGUAAAACUGUUGACUCUAAUAGAUGUCUAAAGAAACAAGGCUAAUAAUUGUUCUAAAAAAUAGGGGGCAUUUUAAAUAUUUAUUUGGGUCAACAUUAUCUUGCAUGCCACAAUCCCUAAAUAAAUAUUUAAAAUCGCAUGCAGGCUAUUAACAUAACCACAAAAAAAAGAAAUAGUAAAGUAGAACUCGUCAACAACUGAAUUCAUAAAAUUACUUUUUAUUUGUUCAUAAUUUAUAUAUAAGUUUCUAAUUUACAUCUUUUUUACAAGCUUACAUUAACAAAAAGGGGAAAAAGUAAAUUGUCCUUCGCAAAAGAUUAAAAUCUGUCUUCUAAAUCUAUUCCUGAAUAGGAAGUUGACAACUCCGCUAUACUCCUACCAAAGACUGGACAUCCUGUGUUUAUGGGACCUGCACUAAGCAACAGAUAUGCCAAGAAAAAGGCGAAAGAUUAUACAAAUAUAUAUAAAACUAUAAAAAGAAAUGUGUGGUUGAAUGGAGGUCUCCUAAAAUUGCUGGCUGACUAAGUGUCCCGCUCCUUCUGAAACCUAUGUAGAAUAAUAAGGAUAUCAGUGAACAAUUAAAAAAAGAAAGGAACUGCAAAAACUAACAAAGAUGUACCUGAGCUGAAGCUUCAUGUAGCAGCUAACUGGUUAAUAUCCUAUUCCUGUGGGCACUUACAUAAAUUAGUGAGGUAUCAUCAAUAUAUAUAAAAUAGGCAGUGUAAACGUAAAGUAAAAGUUAUUGAAAAGAGUGUAUCUGAGUUGAGAUCUCUUGCAGUAGCUAGCUUGUUGACAUCCUGCUCACUUGGAACCUGCAUAAGAUAUGAAAUAUUAUUAGUAUAAGUAUAAAAUCAACUGAAAAAGAAAGAGAAGAGAGUGUACCUGGGCCAAGAACAACUACAAAAAAAUUAAGGCAGUGAAAUCCUGCAAGCUAGUGAAUAUGUAAAGUUCGGAUACUAGAUUCUAUAGUAAUGGUAUUAGAUUUACAGAUUCAAUAGCUUGUGGGAUUUCACUACCUCAUGUUUUUUACAGUUGUUUUUGGCUCAAGUGCACUCUUCCCUUUCUUUUUUAACUAAUUUUAUACUUGUACUAGUGAUCCUUCGUGUAUUGUGCAGCUUCAAGAUGAGCAUGAUAUUAGCUAACUAGUCAUUAUAGGAGAUUUCAGCUCAGUUCUCACAAAAACAGUAUAUCAGCUAGUUAGCUACCACGGGAGGAUGUAGCUCAGGUACACUUUUAUUAGUUUAUACAGUUCAUUUCUUUCUUUAGCUAUUCACUAAUACCCUUAUUAUUCUACACAGGUUUUAGGAGUGGGACACCUAUUCAACCAGCUAUUGCAGGAGACCUCUGUUUAGUUACACCUUUCUUUUUGUAGCUUUACAUAUAUUUGCAUAAUCUUUGUCCUUUCUACUGAUGUUUAUGUUACAUAAGCAUAGGAUGCCUAGCCUUUGGAAAGAGCAUAGCGGAGCUGUCGAUUUCCUCUUCAAGCAUAAAUUUAAGAGAUACAUUUUAGUCCCUUGUGAAGGACAAUGUACUUAUCAUCUUUUUUGGCUAAUGUAAACUUGUAAAAAAAUAUAAAUUGAAAACUUAUAUAUAAA